This is a non-coding RNA of Eimeria acervulina, 80 nucleotides long. The record is from Rfam. Lineage: Eukaryota; Apicomplexa; Conoidasida; Eucoccidiorida; Eimeriidae.
GGCAGAAUGGCCGAGUGGUCUAAGGCGCUGCGUUUAGGCCGCAGUCCGCAAGGGCGUGGGUUCGAACCCCACUUCUGUCA